UUUCCUUUCUUCCGUUUCCUUACUGUGCCUGAUCCUCUUCUUUCCCCUUCUUCUUCUUCCCCUUCGUGGUCGAAACCGAUUGUCUUCCUCUCAAUCUCGCAUCGUCUCCUCAUCAUCUUCCUCUCCUUCCCAACCGGCGUCGCCCUCCCGAGCUCUUCCCCAUCUCCUCUUCUCAUCUCUGCCCUAGCCUCUUCAUGCGAUCGCUGACCCCUACAAGCCGAAGCUAGGUCGUGACGUCGCUGAUCUUCACGGCCACCAGCAUCAGGUGUGGUCGUGACGGAGGACGAGGCUAGCCCUCAGUCGAUCUUCUUCCUCUUCAUUCUGAUUCCUCUUCAUCACGCACCAAGUCGCACCCUACAACAGAGUAGCAGCUGAUACCACCCAAGGAGUCAUCGUUGGUAGAAUUUUAGGUUGUGUUCCCGUGCCCUAGAUUUCCUCUUGCUACCAGAUCCGAACAAAGCAUCAGAAUUGGCUCCAGCAGGUACUGUUCGCCGGCUAAGGCUUUAGAUAUGUUCGGUCAGUGUUGUUUGACGGUGUCGAUCCACAACUCCAGCCCCUUUUCCGACAAUAGACACAACGAUCUCGAGUCAAAAGUGGAGCAUUCAGACUCGGGACUUUGAUUCGAAACGACGUCUCGACGUGGGAUCUAUUUUGGAUACGAUCUCCACUCUUUAGAGGCGGG
Zingiber officinale is the source of this 682-nucleotide long non-coding RNA. RefSeq lists it as uncharacterized. The record is from RefSeq and is a predicted model, not a curated record. NCBI's taxonomy places the organism in Eukaryota, Viridiplantae, Streptophyta, Magnoliopsida, Zingiberales, Zingiberaceae. The transcript has 4 exons.